AAGGCUUGAAUGAAGAAUGUAGAUCUGCCUCGGGCAAAACUGUGGUACCAAAAAUCCCACUGUGAACACUGAUAGCCAGGACAGAAUUACAAUUAACAACAACAAAAAAAUGUCAGGUGCCUCCAACAAAGUCCCAACAAACUGAGCAGAAUGCAAGCAGCCUGCAAAUCACCUGGAUACAUAAUGCUAACCCUCAGAACUACUCUUGCUUUGGUAAAAUGCCAUCUGACCCUGGAUAAAGGCCAUUCACGAUUUUGUAGUCCUCUAGCUUUUCAAGUAAUUUCUCCCUGAUGUCUGUUUCCUGGCUGAAGUGUACUAACUGGAGAAAUUCAUCUCAUCCUCAAAGACAUGCCUCAAAUAGAUCAGACAAAUCACUCCUCAAAAGUGCCAGUUCCUCUUUACUGAUUUCUGAGGGAGACCAAGAUGACUAAGCCAGUAACAGACACUUCUGCUGUAUAUGUCUAAAUUUACAUGAGCUCAAUCUCACUCUCUGUUUCCGUGAAAUACCUUCAUUUUCUAUCGGGUGUAAACAUAACAAAAUUAGUGAGGUGAAUCCAGUGUGUAGUAAAUGAGUAGAGUGGAAAUGGUCAAGGAAUAUAAAGUACCUAUAAAAUCUGUCUCACUCAUUGUAUGAAGAGAUAUGGAAAUGAUGAAUCUGGGCUGAGUCAGUAUGUCAGUUAUUACUAUGCCUUCAUUUUUUUUCUGUUUUUUACUGCAGAGUUAGUAAUAAGGCUUUCAGCUAUGCAUUCAAGAUAAAUGCCAGUGUUAGAAUAAACUUGAUAUGCAGUGCUCACAACUGCGAGAUAUUAAUUUAUAAACUAAAGAUAAACACUACCAUACUACAUUAAUGAACCCUAUUAUUUUCCUUGUGAGAAGGUAAUGUUAGACAAACUGAAUUUUCCUCUAUUUGUUUCUUUAAAAGAAUUGCUUUCCUAGUAGCUUAAAGCUUUCCUAAACUUUUCUGGUUGUUAGUGUUACUGCACAUGAUACACACAACUACCUGAAACUCCAGAUGUCAGCUAGUGAAAUAUGUUUUCUCAGUGCCUGUGUCUGGCCACUUGGCAGAGCCCUACGUUAUCAGCAGUCAGUCAUACUAGCAGGUCCCAAAUUGCCUCUGGGUCAGCCAUGUGCUUGUGGCUUUUAUUAAAUUUGUGAGGGGAUUUGACUUCUCCUGGUGCUUUGUUCCAUUUAGAUUCAUAGAUGUUAAGACCAGAAGGGACCGUAGUGAUCAUCUAGUCUGCCCCCUGCAUAACACAAGACCCAGAAUGCUCCUGAUUUAAUUCAUGCUUGAAGUAGAGCAUAUCUUUUACAGAAAAACAAAACAAAUUCAAACAAAACUGUUCAGUUUAAUAUUUCCAGAAACAUAUUCUAAAACCGUAGAGUUAUAUAAAGCAUUAUUUAUUCCCAGUGUUAAAGUUGCAUACCUUAUUUCCAGCAUGAGCUUCAACAUCUGGUCUUUGACUUCCUCUGUGCUCUCCUAGAUAGAGCGAGACAUCUAUAUUUUCUGCUACCUUUCAUCAGGUCAUGCCUCAACUUCUGCUUUGUUAAACAAAGUAGAUAUCUCUGUCAGCAUUUAACUGUAAGAAUGUUUUGUGUUGUCCUGACAUGAUUAUUUACAGAUACUGUUUAUACGUGUCACCAAAAUCCUCAGUGAAAAUCAAAGGGAAUUAUGCUAAAAUUGUUGCUAAGAGAAAGGUUCUCUAGUUUUUUUAACCUACUUAUUAUGUGCAAAGUACAAAAUGUUUCGUUACAAUACCAACACCCAACAAAUUAAACCAGAGCUACGAGGAAGUCAUUGCGGAGGCCAAGCCGGGUUAUUCACAGCAGUGCAUAGUACUAGGACAAGGAAAAAGAAGUAUAACUUCAAAACAGAGAGGUUGAGGCUCGAUGUAAGGAGAAGCUUUUUCCCAGAGAGGGCAGGUAGGCAGUGUCCCAGACUAUUCGUGGGGAUUUUCAAGCCAAGCAACCUGGCCUGACCCAAUGUUCACAGCCUGCUGUGAGCAAGACCUUGGACCAGAGACAUCCUGAGGUCCCUUCCAGCCCAAGUGAUUUUUAUCAUUCCACAAUUUCAUAAGACGCUUCAAGACGCACUGACACACAAGCAUUUCAGCUGCUUAUACAUUUUUAUAACAUCAAUAAGGAUUAUACAUAUUAGUUCUGCAAAUUUAAGAAAUAUAUGAAAAAAAAACCAAAAACCAACAAAACAACCCCAGCACAAAUUUCACUAUUGAAAACAAAAUCUGCUGAAAAUGUACAAAGCUUGUACUCCUUUGACUAUCAAAACUAUUGCCCAUUUAUAAAUAACUGGAUUUCUGUAGCUCAUGACAAACAAUUCUGCAAUAUGAAAACACCCACUAAUGUGUGUCUUCUAACUUUCUAUCACUUGUCUUGGUCAGGAUCAGGCAGGAAUGGACUCAUACAUUAAAGACAGUAUCAAUAUAAAAUAUCUGCCCUUCUUGUAAUUUUUUUAGUUGCCCAAGGAUAUAGGGGUCCAAGAGAAUCAGAUCAGAGGCUGAGAGCUGUCUCAUUAUCUAGUAAUUCCUUUAAAAGCAUUUGGAGAUCAAAAUGCUUUUCAGAACAGCCAAUGGUGUUUUCGUGUUUAAUAAUAUUGAGUGCACUUUACAUGCUUAUAUCCAGGUAAAUAAUCCAAAUCUUUUUGCAACCCUCUUUUUCUUUUUUUUUCUUUUUUUUAAACUUCUCUCCUAAAUUUGACUAGUAACUAUUGGUCUAUUUUUUUCUUUAAGGUCUAUUUGAAAACAAUUAUUGCUUGGACCAAGUAUUGCUGGAAGAUGAUUCAAGAUUAUCCUCUCAUUACGGCCAAAAGUAGAGGCACAAAAUCAGUUUAUUUCAUGUAUUUAAUCUGUAUCAUGUCAAUAUUAUAAUGUUUUAUUAAUUAACAUGUAAUGGAAAUGCAGGUCACAUUCCUUGUAGAGGUUUAUAAAUGUAUUCUUGUAUUCUAUAUGCACUGUUACCUUUAUUAAUCAAACUUGUAAUCUCAUUAAAAAGGUAUUUUGUUAGUUUAAUAACAUCUAUAUUAAGCAAACUGUUGACUGGUCUCCUUAAUUCCUAUUGUGUCACUUGUUCUAUUAUUUCAACCAGACUUGUUGUCAGGAGGAUGCCUAAGGAUCACUCCAUUUACGCGCUGGCACAGCAUUAGCUCUUAUCUCCUCCGUCAGCUUCCUCCUUUCUGUAACAGUCAUAAAAAAUUAUCAUAAACUGCCAGUGGUCAUCUAUAGUAAGCUUUGAAGAAAUUUGGGUUUCCUUGUAAAUGUCUAAAUUCACAAAUUGCUAUUGCGUAUCCUUAUUAGUUAUUGAUCAGAUAUACAAUGUUUCAUUGUCACGCAAUAAUACUGUUUUUGUUGAUAUAUUUAAAGAUGUGUAAAAUUAUCGCCGUGUAUCUUCAUACUACAGUUAUUAUUGGAUACUGUUUCUUCCUUUGUAUUCCUGUAUAUAAUUCGGAUUCCAAACCAAAUUAUAUUCAAGUAAAUGUCAGUUGAUUUAAUUGAUUUCUUGGGCUGUUACCUGACAAUGUUCCCAGAAAAAUGUUGUGCUACGUAGGAAAUAAAUAAAGGAUUUUG
Long non-coding RNA from Gallus gallus (chicken), 3578 nucleotides. NCBI's taxonomy places the organism in Eukaryota, Metazoa, Chordata, Aves, Galliformes, Phasianidae. The record is from Ensembl.